UCACUGGAACACACAUCACCGGAACACACAUCACCGGAACACACAUCACCUAGAGCACUCAGGAAAUGCUAACUGGAAACAAGACGAAGCUGCAAGAAUCAGCAGGGGAGAAGGACUAGGAAGGAGAAAAUCAACCCUGUGGGGACAGGUCCUUGGUUGAUUUGGUGGCCUUCCAAACUGCCAUAAAGAACUGCUGCCAGAGAUGAUAAAACAAAUCUGAGGAGAGAAAAAGGUCACAAGGUUGGAACGAAGAGUUUGAAAGAAUUAUAGGAUAAAAUUCGCUGAAGUGGUCUGGUCCCACUCAGAUGAACUCCAAUAAACCCCAAUGCCCAGGACCAAUUGAUACAGAAAUAGGCAGAGCCUGAAGUCAGGGCAGGUGGCCUGGCUUCCUCCCCCCCCACUCAAUGCCCCAGUCCCCUACCAGCAUCCCUGUGAGUGGGCGUGUAGCCACCGAUCCAGGCCUUCGAGAAGGAACCCAGCAGCAUCUCACUGUGUGAAUGGACGAGAGGAGACCUGCCUCGACUUCGGGAAAGCUAAGAGAGGCGCAGAUAGACACAAGGCACUGCAACUUUGUGUCGCUUGGAUGUGGCAGGGAUUUUAACAGAAGAGUACAGAAGGAACCAGGGUGAGAAGGUGCUGGGGGAGAGGUUUGCAGCUGGCCCAGCCCGAGGGAAGCCACCAUCACCACUCAUGCCACUCCGCAAGCCACUUUCCAUGAUUUAAAACAAGAUAUAGCCAAAAGCUCCCCUUAAGUCCCCACCAGAAGUCAUAGAAAUGUUAAGAAGAGUGAUGAGUCAGAGAUACCUUUAUCUGAUAACCUACAAUGUCCUUCCUUCAAUGAAAUGCGUCUCCAAACAUAAAAGGUUGGAUAACAAAUCCAUGUGGACUCUUCCAUUUGAAAGACCUCAGGGGAAGAACCCCAGAUCCUGCCUGACAGCAUGCAUUAGCGUCGCCAUACAUCUCCAAAAUUGAGACUUUAGCUAAAUUCUUCCCACACAGGAUAGAAUUGCUCAGUCACCACUCUGAAAAUGGAAUCCAGCAAUGAGUGUCCAACUAUGGCUGAAAGAUACACCCUGAGAAUUAAAUGAUUUUAACGAACCCAUUGAGGUUUAUAAA
Molecule: non-coding RNA, 1116 nt
Organism: Microcebus murinus (gray mouse lemur)
Lineage: Eukaryota; Metazoa; Chordata; Mammalia; Primates; Cheirogaleidae
Source: RefSeq, a predicted model, not a curated record